GACGAACGCUGGCGGCGUGCCUAACACAUGCAAGUCGAGCGAACAGACCAGGAGUUUGCUCCUCUGACGUUAGCGGCGGACGGGAGAGUAACAUGUGUAUAACCUACCUAUAAGACUGGGAUAAUCACGGGAAACCGGCGCUAAUAGCGGAUAAUAUAUUGAACCGCAUGGUUCAAUAGUGAAAUUCGGUUUUGCUGUCACUAAUAGCUGGAUCCGCGCCGCAUUAGCUAGUUGGUGAGGUAACUGCUUACCAAGGCUAGGAUGCGUAGCCGCCCUGAGAGGGUGGUCGGCCAGACUGGGAGUGAGACAGGGUCCAGAGUCCUACGGGAAGCAACAGUAGGGAAUCUUCCGGAAUGGGCGAGAGCCUGACGGAACAACGCCGCGGGAGUGAUGAAGGUCUUCGGAUCGGAGAGCUCUGUUAUUAGGGGGGAACAAAUGUGUGAGUAGCUAGGAACGUCUUGACGGUACCUGAUCAAAAAGCCACGGCUAACUACGUG
This 497-nucleotide ribosomal RNA is filed under the name uncultured bacterium. Its description in RNAcentral is "partial 16S ribosomal RNA". It matches the Rfam family "Bacterial small subunit ribosomal RNA", at positions 28 to 507 of the family's 1533-position model. The record is from RNAcentral.